RNAcentral lists this long non-coding RNA (348 nucleotides) under Cucumis sativus (cucumber). RNAcentral describes it as "long non-coding RNA (CSAT_LNC001417)". The record is from RNAcentral. Lineage: Eukaryota; Viridiplantae; Streptophyta; Magnoliopsida; Cucurbitales; Cucurbitaceae.
ACAAAAAACACAGAGCAUUUCCACUGUUUUUCUCUUUUCUUUUUCUCUCAUUUUAAUCACUCAUUUUCCUCUUCCUCUUCUUCUUCUUCUUCUUUUUUUAAUUUAGAAACUCAAAAUCUUGGAAAAUUCUUGUUUUUUUUUGGGGGGGUUUAUUUCUGUCCUUUUGUAUUUACUUCUUGAGAGAGAUUCUAAUUGGAAGGCCAUUGAGAGGAAGUGCAAAAGGACCAUAUUGAAUCCCUUCUUGUUCACCAACUACAUUCCACCUACAUUAAUUUCAAGUUCAAGAAAACAAAUUAAUCACUAUAAUUAAUAUAAAAAUAUGUAUGUAUGUAUAUAUAUAUAUAUUGU